RNAcentral lists this ribosomal RNA (609 nucleotides) under Hedychium flavescens. RNAcentral describes it as "eukaryotic LSU rRNA". The stretch from base 215 to 370 matches the Rfam family "5.8S ribosomal RNA". The record is from RNAcentral. Lineage: Eukaryota; Viridiplantae; Streptophyta; Magnoliopsida; Zingiberales; Zingiberaceae.
GUGAACCUGCGGAAGGAUCAUUGUUGAGAGAGCACAAGACGAUGGAUGGUUGUGAAUGUGUGAACGCGCCCCUUUCCUCGCCCCGCCCAUGUCGGCGGGCGAUUGACCGUAGCCGGGUGCGAUCGGCACCAAGGAACAAUGAACUCGGAAGCAGAGGGCCCCUCGACGUGCGCGGGGGGGAGCCCAAUGCGUCGGAGACUCCUCGAAAUCAAAUGACUCUCGGCAAUGGAUAUCUCGGCUCUUGCAUCGAUGAAGAACGUAGUGAAAUGCGAUACUUGGUGUGAAUUGCAGAAUCUCGUGAACCAUUGAGUCUUUGAACGCAAGUUGUGCCCGAGGCCUUGUGGCCGAGGGCACGCCUGCUUGGGCGUCAUGGCAUCGUCGCUUUCGCUCCACGCAUUGUUGGUGGCGAGCGGAAAUUGGCCCCGUGUGUCCUCGGGCACAGUCGGUCGAAGAGUGGGUAGUCGGCAGUCGUCGGGCACGAUGGGUGUUGGUCGCCGCGAGCGGGAACAGAACGUCGUCCCCGUCGUCUCGGGAUGAGUCCUCAAGAGACCCUGUGCGAAUGCGGCGUCGGCCGAAAGUGCCGCGCCCAUCAAAUUGUGGCCCCAAGUC